AGCGAACGCUGGCGGCAGGCUUAACACAUGCAAGUCGAGCGGGCACUUUCUGAUGUCAGCGGCUGACGGGUGAGUAGCGCGUGGGAACGUGGCCUCUGGUUCGGAUUAACUCAUGGAAACUUGAUCUAAUAGCGGAUACGCCCCUUUUGGGACAGGCCUGCUGCCGGAGGAUGCGCCCGCGUCUGAUUCGCUAGUUGGUUAGGUAACGGCUCACCAAGGCGACGAUAAGUAGAUGGUCAGUGAGGCAGAUCCGACACACUGUGGCUGGGCAGCGGCCCAGACUACUACGGGAGGCAGGAGUGGGGAAUAUUGGAAAAUGGGGGCAAGGCAGAUGCAGUCAUGGCGGGAGAGUGAUGAAGUCCUGAGAGAUGUAAAGCUCUUUUAUCCGGGACGAUAAUGACGGUACCGGAGGAAUAAGCCCCGGCUAACUUCGUG
RNAcentral lists this ribosomal RNA (435 nucleotides) under uncultured bacterium. Its description in RNAcentral is "partial 16S ribosomal RNA". It matches the Rfam family "Bacterial small subunit ribosomal RNA", at positions 29 to 507 of the family's 1533-position model. The record is from RNAcentral.